UGCAGUCGACGCCCUUCGCAGAACGGAGUGGCGGACGGGUGAGGAACACGUGGAUUACCUAUCCUUUGGUGAGGAAUACCGGCGAGAAAUCGCCGACAAUACCGCAUAUCCUUCUCACGAAGGAAAGCUCGCAAGAGCGCCAGAGGAUGGGUCUGCGUCUGAUUAGCUAGCUGGUGAGGUAAUGGCUUACCAGGGCGACGAUCAGUAGCUGGUCUGAGAGGACGAUCAGCCACACUGGGAUUGAGAACGGCCCAGACUCCUACGGGGGGCAGCAGUGAGGAAUUUUCGGCAAUGGGGGCAACCCUGACCGAGCAACGCCGCGUGCAGGAUGACGGCCUUCGGGUUGUAAACUGCUUUUCUUUGGGACGAGCAAGGACGGUACCAGAGGAACAAGCCCCGGCUAACUACGUGCCAGCAGCCGCGGUAAUACGUAGGGGGCAAGCGUUAUCCGGAAUUACUGGGCGUAAAGCGCACGCAGGCGGUUCGCCAAGUUUGGAGUGACAGUUGUUGGCUCAGCCGACAAAGGACUUCAAAAUCUGGUGCACUUGAGGACGAUAGAGAACAUGGAACUCCAGGUGAAGUAAUGACAUGCGUACAUAUCUGGAAGAACACCAAUGGCGAAUGCAAUGUUCUGGGUCGUUUCUGAAGCUCAGGGGGCAAAACCAUGGUGACCAAACGGUAUUAGAUUCCCCGGUAGUCCUGGGCCGUAGCAAUGAGCCUUAACCGUGGCGGGGUUCGACCCCUUUCCUGGUUGAAGUCAACGCGAAAAAAGGUCCCACUGAAGAGUCCGGACCACAAUAUAAACCUCAAGGACUUGUGGGGGACUUCCCAAACCGCCGAUGUUGGGGUUAUACUAUGCAUGCAUCC
Molecule: ribosomal RNA, 867 nt
Filed under: Ktedonobacter sp. enrichment culture clone CTBE CDB1001E04
Lineage: Bacteria; Bacillati; Chloroflexota; Ktedonobacteria; Ktedonobacterales; Ktedonobacteraceae
Description: bacterial SSU rRNA
Rfam family: Bacterial small subunit ribosomal RNA
Source: RNAcentral